AUGAUUUCUACCUCAAGAUCAACGGCUUCCAGAUUCAUUCAUGUUGCAGAUCUCAAUUUUGUGUGUGUAUAUAUCUGUAUAUAUGUGUGUAUUUAUGACCGUGAGGGGGUGGGGAGUUUAAUGGAUGUAGGUUGUUUCAGGAUUACAUAUCUCGAAUCUAUGAGUGUUUUGAGAAUUGAAUCCUGA
Molecule: non-coding RNA, 186 nt
Organism: Vicia faba (fava bean)
Lineage: Eukaryota; Viridiplantae; Streptophyta; Magnoliopsida; Fabales; Fabaceae
Source: the annotation of a GenBank genome assembly